AGAAAUCGACGCCGGUUAUAAAAUUCGUAAACACGUCGCACGAAAACAAGGUCGCAUCAGCGCGCUAUCAUUCGAGCGUGACGCAGGACUUGGAUCGGUCGACAGUGGUGCCGCGUCACUGCGUCGUAUUAUUUUUUCAAACGUUGGCAAGUACUGACAAACGAACGAGAUUCCUUACGAACGAUUAGAGAUUAAAAUCGCGACUAAUUCGUUUCUCGAGUGUACCAAGAUUAAUGGCGUAUCGACGCGACGAUUUUUAUGUACUUUCGAAGUGGAUAUUCGACAUCGCUACCCGUCGCAUCGUUAAAUACGCACGAGAUUAAGUUAGUUCAACGCCUUAACGUAAGAAUACGAUCUCUUAUCGAGGCCUGCAUGGGAAUUUGGGAGAUGUACGUUCCGAUUUGUGUCGUGUCUUUGUGUUGUGUCUUAAAUAAGUAUGUAACGGCAACGGGAAAAUUUCGGUAUUCGGUAUAACCGUCGCACUCCUGCGUCGUAUUUAUUCUUUAAAGUCGUUACGGCAAGUAUCGGGAAGCGGAGACUUUUUACAAAUUAGAGGUUAUAAUCGCGAUUAAUGACUAAAAGACUUCUUAAGAGCUAUUCGAUUUAUAUUCUAGUUCAAGUUAGUGAUCGCACUUUCGAUGUACGAUAAUGUAGGAUCUUAGGAUUUUAUUGAGUGCCAACGUACUUAUUGAUUCGAAUUAUGUCGACGGAAUAUGGGUAUUUUAUCUUGGGGGGGAGGGAAGGUUUUAUAUAAAUGGGAAUAUCGUGUACCGCGCAAAAAUUGUUACUGAUAAUUAGCCACGAGUGUUUCUCGGGAGUGUUGUGCAAGUGUAAGUUAAGAAGAUUUGACAACCUAGAAGGAAGUGCCUGAUAAUUUGAGAGGAGGUGGAGGCCUUGGAGAGGCGUCGGGCAUCGACGAGUUUUUGUUUGCGAUUUCAACGUAGUCAACGUAGCAGAUAACUCCGCUGUUGCGCAUCGGUCGGUUCUUAUAGUAAAUUCUCGUGAAUUCUUUGGAGAAACUCUACACGGGAAUUACUGGAUCGUCCAUCCAUAAGUUAGGACAGCAAAGUAACGAACGGAUUAAUUCUUACACUGAUGAUCUUUCGUGUAAAACGGAGACAAUACAUCAAGAUAACUUGUAAGUUUAACCGUAAACGAACGUCAUAUUUUGUUCCUGCUAUCGAAACUACCCGGACAUUAUUUUGGAUGGUGCAGCCUCUGUCGUUGUCCAGCGGUACAAAAGGACAGCCGGCGUGGGAGAAGCUGCGGCUUGUGCAACAUAAAUAGAGAUACCAAGUGAGAAGGGUGCAACGAAGGUGCGACUACGACUGUGCCGACAACAGAUGGCUACGUUCAGUUCUGCCGAUGGACCAUAUUACGACCUGCUAUUAUCGACCGACCGAACAAAAUAAUUGAUCACCGAAGCCUUCGGACAGAAACGCCGGCGCGUGAAUCAGUGUAAGCAAAAAGCGAGACGAACUCGUGAGUAAUCCGGAAUACGAAAAAGUUUACUGGUUAUAGCAGUGGAGCACCUGUGGCAUUCUGUACGAGGAGGUGAAGUCCAUAAGAUCGGGGUUGAACGAAAAGCUGUGAAAAAAGGGAACCUACAUCUCAAGUGAUCUUUCCUAUCCUUCGUCAGUUGGCGACACCGUGCAAUCCUCAAUAUCUACAACCACCCAACAGGUGGCAGCACGCCCUAGAAUGUCAAGUAUUCAUCUUUCGAGGAAUUCCGCCUUCGUGUAUGCACACCCAAAGUACGAGCUAAAGUUCAAAUGGCCAUGCACUUAACGGGCGAAACGGGGCAGUGGGUGCACCGCGGGAUAAUUCGAUCUUAUCGCGUGUUGAACAAGCCGCCCGCUGGGAAAUCGACCGUACGGGUCGUUAAAAAUCAAGAGAUUGCGACAAACCGUGCAAACACGCUGUGGAAAUGGCCCAACAAAGGAAACCAAAAAUAAAACAAUCGAAAACUUUAUAAUAUAGAAGAUAAAUAUCCGACAUCCUGCUUAACGGAUCUUCUGAAUCAACUUUGGAGAGAAUACUGUAAUCGUUUACGUACGUGAUUGCUGAUGUGGGAAGAUAUUCGGCAGAUGGGAAUGAUGGAAAUAAGGGUGCAAAGAGGAUAUUGAUCGUCCUUGUACUCCUUAAAGGCACGAUAGAGCAGUGCCCUUGAAACUAGCCUACCGUUCUAAAGCGGCACAAUGUGACGAUAUAGCAUAACGUACAGCAGCGAUGUCGUUUCCAUGGCAAUGCAUCGAUGGGUCUGGGAACGUGCUAACUUUCGCGCAUGCACAGUGUACAUGGGACGCAUGCCACAGCAUUAAAACACAGGUUGAGGUAACAUUUGAUGGAAUAAUUGAACAACUAUACAGAACCCUCAAGAAGACAUCGGAUUUCCAUUAAAUUAAUUAGUUAAAUUAAUUGAUAUUAUCAAAUAUCAUAUUGCAAAAGCGUAAAAUUGUAGUUAAUUUGAAUGAUAAGAUAUAAAUUGAUCAGAUUACAAAUCA
Molecule: long non-coding RNA, 2504 nt
Filed under: Acromyrmex echinatior (Panamanian leafcutter ant)
Lineage: Eukaryota; Metazoa; Arthropoda; Insecta; Hymenoptera; Formicidae
Description: uncharacterized LOC105150419, transcript variant X3
Source: RNAcentral